AACGAACGCUGGCGGCGUGGAUAAGACAUGCAAGUCGAACGGGAACUUUCGCUGUAGCAAUACAGUGAAAGUUUUAGUGGCGAACGGGUGCGUAACACGUGGGGAAUCUGCCGAGAAGUGGGGGAUAGCUCGUCGAAAGGCGAAUUAAUACCGCAUAUGAUCAGCCAAGACAUCUUGGCGACAUCAAAGCCGGGGCAACCUGGCGCUUCUUGAUGACCCCGCGGCCUANCAGCUAGUUGGUGAGGUAACCGGCCCACCAAGGCGAUGACGGGUAGCUGGUCUGAGAGGACGACCAGCCACACUGGAACUGAGACACGGUCCAGACACCGUACGGGUGCAGCAGUCGAGUAAUUUUUCUCAAGUGGGGAAACCCUGAAGGAGCGACG
This 386-nucleotide ribosomal RNA is filed under the name uncultured bacterium. RNAcentral's name for it is "bacterial SSU rRNA". It matches the Rfam family "Bacterial small subunit ribosomal RNA", at positions 29 to 396 of the family's 1533-position model. The record is from RNAcentral.